CUUGUAGCAAAUCAAACAUUCUUGUUUUUCAGUGAGCUCACUUCUUCUUCUUCUCUACUUUCCACAAGACUUUGACUUCGAAGAGCAGAAAAUGGAAGGAAGAGGUAAAGUCAGCAUGAUCAACGGUGGAGAUGGAACUAGAAAAGGUGGUAGAGAACACAGUAGCCGUCCGAUCCCGAAGAGAGGGCAAGUCAAAGUUGGGAUCUUGCUUGGUUUUGCUAAUUCUUUUGCUUCCAUCUUUGGCUCAACGAGAAACUUCCAUGGAUCCUAAACUUAAUCUUCUAUCUUCUCAUUUCCCACAGAAAUAUUUUCAUUCACUUUUUAGAAUUUUCUGUGGUUUAUUGGAGUGAGAUAAGAUUGGUGAUCUUGUAGUGUCUAGUUUGUUGAGUUCAAUUUCAUUUUGUCAUUUCAUUUUUGUACAAAUCCUAUGUAGUUUCUCUUGUUAAAAUAUAUAUAUUGUGAUCUUUCUAGAUGCUAGAUUUCUUAUUUACUUUAUCAAUUUGAUCUAUAAUAUUUAGCUUUUGGU
Molecule: non-coding RNA, 526 nt
Organism: Arabidopsis thaliana (thale cress)
Lineage: Eukaryota; Viridiplantae; Streptophyta; Magnoliopsida; Brassicales; Brassicaceae
Source: RefSeq